This 370-nucleotide ribosomal RNA is filed under the name Notospermus geniculatus. Its description in RNAcentral is "partial 16S ribosomal RNA". It matches the Rfam family "Bacterial large subunit ribosomal RNA", at positions 1964 to 2542 of the family's 2925-position model. The record is from RNAcentral. Lineage: Eukaryota; Metazoa; Nemertea; Pilidiophora; Heteronemertea; Lineidae.
GUCACUUGCCCUUUAAUUGUGGGCUGGRAUGAAGGGAAGGACCGAGRSUUUGGCUGUCUCCUUUCUAUUUUUUGAACUUGCUGUCUGUGUGAAGAAGCAUUGUUGGUGAAGAGGGACGAGAAGACCCUGUUAAGCUUUACUUUUGCUUGGUGGUUCUUUGGUGUUUAUGUUGUAUAUUAGGGCUGUUCGUAAAAAGUUUGGUUGGGGUGACCAAAGAAGAUGUGAAUCUUCUUUUUUGUUUUUACUUUCUGUUCAAUUUUGAUCCAAGAUUUUUUGAUUUAAGGAACUAGUUACUACAGGGAUAACAGCGUAAUUUUUUCAUAAAGUUCUUAUUGAAGAGGGAGAUUGCGACCUCGAUGUUGACUUGUUA